GAAUUUUCCGCAAUGGGCGAAAGCCUGACGGAGCAACGCCGCGUGGAUGAUGAAGCCUUUCGGGGCGUAAAAUCCUUUCAGUGGGGACGAAGCGAGUGACGGUACCCACAGAAGAAGCACCGGCUCACUCCGUGCCAGCAGCCGCGGUAAUACGGAGGGUGCAAGCGUUGUUCGGAAUUACUGGGCGUAAAGCGCACGUAGGCGGGUUCGCAAGCCGAAUGUGAAAUCCCCGGGCUCAAUCCGGGAAUUGCAGUUGGAACUACGAAUCUUGAAUGCUUGAGAGGGUGACGGAAUUCCUGGUGUAGAAGUGAAAUUCGUAGAUAUCAGGAGGAACACCGGAGGCGAAGGCGGUUGCCUGGCAAUGCAUUGACGCUGAGGUGCGAAAGCGUGGGGAGCAAAC
Molecule: ribosomal RNA, 400 nt
Filed under: uncultured bacterium
Lineage: Bacteria
Description: bacterial SSU rRNA
Rfam family: Bacterial small subunit ribosomal RNA
Source: RNAcentral